UUAAGAAAUAUCCUGUAGUAUUGCAUUUUAUUAUUUUGUACAAAGCGUGCAAAACAAGACAUGGUGUCAGAGUAAAAGGUCUUAAAAGAUGGAUUUUUCUGGAGUUCCUUCACCUCGAAUGGACUGGGAGUCUACAAACUUACCCGAUGCAUGGCAUUGAAUUGACGCAAAUCCCUUAUAUGGUGACCCCGACGUGAUCUGGUGAAGGACCUCGCUGGACAUUGGAGUGCCAGCCAAUUGACCAUUGCUGUCGUCAGAUGGGUGUGUCUCACAACUCCACACCGGUCAAAUAAAAAGACUGCCCCACCACCACAGACUGCCCCUCCACCAUAGAAAG
Long non-coding RNA from Salvelinus sp. IW2-2015, 337 nucleotides. RefSeq lists it as uncharacterized. The record is from RefSeq and is a predicted model, not a curated record. Lineage: Eukaryota; Metazoa; Chordata; Actinopteri; Salmoniformes; Salmonidae.